Sinocyclocheilus grahami is the source of this 188-nucleotide long non-coding RNA. RefSeq lists it as uncharacterized. The transcript is spliced from 3 exons. The record is from RefSeq and is a predicted model, not a curated record. Lineage: Eukaryota; Metazoa; Chordata; Actinopteri; Cypriniformes; Cyprinidae.
AGUGUGAGAGAUGCUGCCGCUGGGGUCAGACGCGGGUCCGAUGCUCGGCUGUGCUGUGGUGUGGAGACCCUGGGAUCUUUCAGCAGGAGAGACGCAAUUAAAUAAAGUGGUUUCUGGAGGUGUGAGACGGGUCCAGACUUCUUCUGAAGAUGUUUUCCAUCAUCCUGUGAGGUCUGCUGCUCUUCCUC